GAUGAACGCUGGCGGCGUGCCUAAUACAUGCAAGUCGAGCGAACAGACGGGGAGCUUGCUCCUCUGACGUUAGCGGCGGACGGGUGAGUAACACGUGGAUAACCUACCUAUAAGACUGGGAUAACUUCGGGAAACCGGAGCUAAUACCGGAUAAUAUAUUGAACCGCAUGGUUCAAUAGUGAAAGACGGUUUUGCUGUCACUUAUAGAUGGAUCCGCGCCGCAUUAGCUAGUUGGUAAGGUAACGGCUUACCAAGGCAACGAUGCGUAGCCGACCUGAGAGGGUGAUCGGCCACACUGGAACUGAGACACGGCCCAGACUCCUACGGGAGGCAGCAGUAGGGAAUCUUCCGCAAUGGGCGAAAGCCUGACGGAGCAACGCCGCGUGAGUGAUGAAGGUCUUCGGAUCGUAAAACUCUGUUAUUAGGGAAGAACAAAUGUGUAAGUAACUAUGCACGUCUUGACGGUACCUAAUCAGAAAGCCACGGCUAACUACGUG
This 497-nucleotide ribosomal RNA is filed under the name uncultured bacterium. RNAcentral describes it as "partial 16S ribosomal RNA". It matches the Rfam family "Bacterial small subunit ribosomal RNA", at positions 28 to 507 of the family's 1533-position model. The record is from RNAcentral.